GAAAAAUUCAAAGUUGGCUGAACGAAGCUAUAAGGUUUUGGCAAUUUUGUGUUUAUUGCAGAGUUUUCUAGCUGGGCUGAAGGUGUUGGCGUGGAAAGUUGAAACAAUGGAAAUUGAUGUUUUCUUUUUUGUUGUUGUUGUUUGCUUUACUGCCUCAGGCCAGAAUUGUUUCUGCAGAUCACUGCCAGAAUCAAUGAAUCACAGAUAAAUCAAGAUCUUUU
RNAcentral lists this unclassified non-coding RNA (221 nucleotides) under Hevea brasiliensis (rubber tree). Lineage: Eukaryota; Viridiplantae; Streptophyta; Magnoliopsida; Malpighiales; Euphorbiaceae. The record is from RNAcentral.